GACGAACGCUGGCGGCGUGCUUAACACAUGCAAGUCGAACGAUGAAGCUGGAGCUUGCUCCGGUGGAUUAGUGGCGAACGGGUGAGUAACACGUGAGUAAUCUGCCCUUGACUCUGGGAUAACUGCGGGAAACUGUAGCUAAUACCGGAUACGACACCUUCGGGCAUCCGAUGGGUGUGGAAAGAAUUUCGGUCAAGGAUGAACUCGCGGCCUAUCAGCUAGUUGGUGAGGUAAUGGCUAAGCAAGGCGACGACGGGUAGCCGGCCUGAGAGGGUGACCGGCCACAGUGGGACUGAGACACGGCCCAGACUCCUACGGGAGGCAGCAGUGGGGAAUAUUGCACAAUGGGCGAAAGCCUGAUGCAGCAACGCCGCGUGAGGGAUGAAGGCCUUCGGGUCGUAAACCUCUUUUAGUUGGGAAGAAGCGAAAGUGACGGUACCAACAGAAAAAGCACCGGCUAACUACGUGCCAGCCGCCGCAGUAA
RNAcentral lists this ribosomal RNA (484 nucleotides) under uncultured bacterium. RNAcentral's name for it is "partial 16S ribosomal RNA". It matches the Rfam family "Bacterial small subunit ribosomal RNA", at positions 28 to 523 of the family's 1533-position model. The record is from RNAcentral.